UGGGGAAUCUUGCACAAUGGGGGAAACCCUGAUGCAGCGACGCCGCGUGAACGAUGAAGCCCUUCGGGGUGUAAAGUUCUUUCGACGGGAACGAUAAUGACGGUACCCGGAGAAGAAGCUGCGGCUAACUACGUGCCAGCAGCCGCGGUAAUACGUAGGCAGCGAGCGUUGUUCGGAGUUACUGGGCGUAAAGAGUGCGUAGGCGGUCAGCCAAGUUUGGUGUGAAAUCUCCCGGCUCAACCGGGAGGGUGCGCCGAAAACUGGUUGGCUUGAGUAUGGGAGAGGAAGGCGGAAUUCCUGGUGUAGCGGUGAAAUGCGUAGAUAUCAGGAGGAACACCUGUGGUGUAGACAGCUUUCUGGACCAUCACUGACGCUGAGGCACGAAAGCGUGGGUAGCAAACA
Molecule: ribosomal RNA, 402 nt
Filed under: uncultured bacterium
Lineage: Bacteria
Description: bacterial SSU rRNA
Rfam family: Bacterial small subunit ribosomal RNA
Source: RNAcentral